Transfer RNA from Theileria parva strain Muguga, 70 nucleotides. It matches the Rfam family "tRNA". From Rfam's summary of the family: Transfer RNA (tRNA) molecules are approximately 80 nucleotides in length. Their secondary structure includes four short double-helical elements and three loops (D, anti-codon, and T loops). Further hydrogen bonds mediate the characteristic L-shaped molecular structure. tRNAs have two regions of fundamental functional importance: the anti-codon, which is responsible for specific mRNA codon recognition, and the 3' end, to which the tRNAs corresponding amino acid is attached (by aminoacyl-tRNA synthetases). tRNAs cope with the degeneracy of the genetic code in two manners: having more than one tRNA (with a specific anti-codon) for a particular amino acid; and 'wobble' base-pairing, i.e. permitting non-standard base-pairing at the 3rd anti-codon position. The record is from Rfam. NCBI's taxonomy places the organism in Eukaryota, Apicomplexa, Aconoidasida, Piroplasmida, Theileriidae.
GGGAAUAUAAUUUAAUAUAAAAUAUUACUUUUGCGUAGUGACUAUGGAGGUUAUAAUCCUCUUAUUUCCA